Heteronotia binoei (common prickly gecko) is the source of this 108-nucleotide small nuclear RNA. The record is from RefSeq and is a predicted model, not a curated record. Lineage: Eukaryota; Metazoa; Chordata; Lepidosauria; Squamata; Gekkonidae.
GAACUCACUUCAGCAGCACAUACACUAAAAUUGGAGUGAUUCAGAGAAGAUUAGCAUGGCCCUGCACAAGGAAAAACAGAAAAGAACUGUGACUAUUGACACCUUUUA